RNAcentral lists this ribosomal RNA (24 nucleotides) under Stichococcus mirabilis. RNAcentral describes it as "partial 5.8S ribosomal RNA". The record is from RNAcentral. Lineage: Eukaryota; Viridiplantae; Chlorophyta; Trebouxiophyceae; Prasiolales; Stichococcaceae. RNAcentral also lists the same sequence under 3 other names.
UAAGGGCAUGCCUGUCUCAGCGUC